This 1400-nucleotide ribosomal RNA is filed under the name Lacticaseibacillus rhamnosus. RNAcentral's name for it is "bacterial SSU rRNA". It matches the Rfam family "Bacterial small subunit ribosomal RNA". Lineage: Bacteria; Bacillati; Bacillota; Bacilli; Lactobacillales; Lactobacillaceae. The record is from RNAcentral.
UCGAUUUAAUUCUGAACGAGUGGCGGACGGGUGAGUAACACGUGGGUAACCUGCCCUUAAGUGGGGGAUAACAUUUGGAAACAGAUGCUAAUACCGCAUAAAUCCAAGAACCGCAUGGUUCAUGGCUGAAAGAUGGCGUAAGCUAUCGCUUUUGGAUGGACCCGCGGCGUAUUAGCUAGUUGGUGAGGUAACGGCUCACCAAGGCAAUGAUACGUAGCCGAACUGAGAGGUUGAUCGGCCACAUUGGGACUGAGACACGGCCCAAACUCUACGGGAGGCAGCAGUAGGGAAUCUUCCACAAUGGACGCAAGUCUGAUGGAGCAACGCCGCGUGAGUNAAGAAGGCUUUCGGGUCGUAAAACUCUGUUGUUGGAGAAGAAUGGUCGGCAGAGUAACUGUUGUCGGCGUGACGGUAUCCAACCAGAAAGCCACGGCUAACUACGUGCCAGCAGCCGCGGUAAUACGUAGGUGGCAAGCGUUAUCCGGAUUUAUUGGGCGUAAAGCGAGCGCAGGCGGUUUCUUAAGUCUGAUGUGAAAGGCCUCGGCUUAACCGAGGAAGUGCAUCGGAAACUGGGAAACUUGAGUNCAGAAGAGGACAGUGGAACUCCAUGUGUAGCGGUGAAAUGCGUAGAUAUAUGGAAGAACACCAGUGGCGAAGGCGGCUGUCUGGUCUGUAACUAACGCUGAGGCUCGAAAGCAUGGGUAGCGAACAGGAUUAGAUACCCUGGUAGUCCAUGCCGUAAACGAUGAAUGCUAGGUGUUGGAGGGUUUCCGCCCUUCAGUGCCGCAGCUAACACAUUAAGCAUUCCGCCUGGGGAGUACGACCGCAAGGUUGAAACUCAAAGGAAUUGACGGGGGCCCGCACAAGCGGUGGAGCAUGUGGUUUAAUUCGAAGCAACGCGAAGAACCUUACCAGGUCUUGACAUCUCUUGAUCACCUGAGAGAUCAGGUUUCCCCUUCGGGGGCAAAAUGACAGGUGGUGCAUGGUUGUCGUCAGCUCGUGUCGUGAGAUGUUGGGUUAAGUCCCGCAACGAGCGCAACCCUUAUGACUAGUUGCCAGCAUUUAGUUGGGCACUCUAGUAAGACUGCCGGUGACAAACCGGAGGAAGGUGGGGAUGACGUCAAAUCAUCAUGCUCCUUAUGACCUGGGCUACACACGUGCUACAAUGGAUGGUACAACGAGUUGCGAGACCGCGAGGUCAAGCUAAUCUCUUAAAGCCAUUCUCAGUUCGGACUGUAGGCUGCAACUCGCCUACACGAAGUCGGAAUCGCUAGUAAUCGCGGAUCAGCACGCCGCGGUGAAUACGUUCCCGGGCCUUGUACACACCGCCCGUCACACCAUGAGAGUUUGUAACACCCGAAGCCGGUGGCGUAACCCUCUUAGGGAGCGAGCCGUCUAGG